This 344-nucleotide long non-coding RNA is filed under the name Nicotiana tabacum (common tobacco). RNAcentral describes it as "long non-coding RNA (NTAB_LNC013735)". Lineage: Eukaryota; Viridiplantae; Streptophyta; Magnoliopsida; Solanales; Solanaceae. The record is from RNAcentral.
AAACAAGCACUUUUUCCACAAAACAUCUAAUAGUCAUAAAUUGCGAAAUCCAAAGUUUAUUACAACACUAUAAAAAAAGAGGGCUCCUAUUCUUAUUGUUUCCCACCACCAACUCUGGAACUGAAGAAUAUCCUAUAUAUAGCCGCCAGCCUCAUCGGUAAUCCCUGGCGAGAAAAGAAAAAAAUCAUCAACAAAAAAUGUCAAAAUCAUCAGCUUUAUCAACAAAUCAACAAGAUGGUGGAGACCUCCGGUCACCGCUCAUCCCGCCGGCGGCGGAUGGAUAUUCAAAACCGAAGAAAGUAACGAUGGAUCAAAUGUUGGAAAAAUACUGCGGCGAGUUUGGG